GCCGAAUCUUUGACAUGUGGUACAAAUAUCUAUAGUUUGAACACAAUACGAAUUGUUCCUUGGUAGUUUUCUUCAAAAGCAUCCACGCAAAAAUUCUGGAAUAAAAUUUUCUAUGCAGACUUCCUUUGCAUACAAUAAUGAACGAGUAAUUACAUUUGCAUCAAUAUGCCAUUUGUUAGGACCACGGAUUCUUGAAGAAGAUAAUGAAUUCCAUAUCUUAGCACCUCCUCUGGUUAACGUCAAGAUUAACUGCGUGUAACUCCUCAUUUGGUUUGGGUUUAUAAUAUAAUUGAACCAUAAGUUUUAACAGAUAAUAAGCACAACAAACCUUAUAAAUACAUUCGUAAUACACUAACAACUUCUCCAAAACGAUCUUAUCAUUUGUUGGUGAACAUGCAUUGACGAUAAUCCACAAUAUUGUUGUCAUUAAUUUUCCCUAAUACACAGACGAAAGUUCAUCUGAAUCACCAACAAUAAUGUCAUUAGUGAAAGUUGAUGGAAUUUCUAUUAGCAACAAUUUGCUCGAGUUAACUUCUUUUUUCAUUUGCCUAGAAAUGUUGUUGAAAUUCUUGAAAUCAUCGAAAAUAUUGCUUAAAGGCCUUGAAAUUCUUGAACCAUAUUUGUUUGUCACUCCACCUAGAUUGAUAAUA
Molecule: long non-coding RNA, 650 nt
Filed under: Olea europaea subsp. europaea
Lineage: Eukaryota; Viridiplantae; Streptophyta; Magnoliopsida; Lamiales; Oleaceae
Source: RNAcentral